UCCGAGUUGACCCCGGCAGUCUCCUACGAGUCCCCGGCAUAACCCGCUGGUAACAUAGGACAAGGGUUGCGCUCGUUGCGGGACUUAACCCAACAUCUCACGACACGAACUGACGACAGCCAUGCACCACCUGUGCAGGACCCCGAAGGACACCGUAUCUCUACGGCUUUUCCCUGCAUGUCAAGCCUUGGUAAGGUUCUGCGCGUUGCUUCGAAUUAAACCACAUGCUCCACCGCUUGUGCAGGCCCCCGUCAAUUUCUUUGAGUUUUAACCUUGCGGCCGUACUCCCCAGGCGGAUGACUUAACGCGUUAGCUGCGCCACCGAAACUCCAUGAGCCCCGACAGCUAGUCAUCAUCGUUUACGGCGUGGACUAC
RNAcentral lists this unclassified non-coding RNA (375 nucleotides) under uncultured bacterium. Its description in RNAcentral is "contains 16S-23S intergenic spacer region". The record is from RNAcentral.